AGAGUUUGAUUUUGGCUCAGAACGAAUGCUGGCGGCGUGCUUAACACAUGUAAGUCGAGUGCGAACCCAUGCUUUGGUGUGGUAGUAGAGCGGCGAACGGGUGAGUAACACGUGAGUAACCUACCCAUAGGAUUGGGAUAACUACUUGAAAGGGUAGUUAAUACCGGAUAAGAUUAUGAUAGUUAUGGUUAUUGAGGGAAAAGGUGGCUGAGUUUGAUGCUACCGCCUGUGGAUGGGCUCGCGUCCCAUUAGUUAGUUGGUGAGGUAAUGGUUUACCAAGGUUAUGAUGGGUAGUUGGUCUGAGAGGAUGACCAGCUACAUUGGAAUUGAGAUAUGGUUUAGAUUUUUAUGGGAGGUAGUAGUGGGGAAUAUUGUGUAAUGGGCGAAAGCUUGAUGUAGUAACGCCGCGUGAGUGAUGAAGGCCUUUGGGUUGUAAAGUUUUGUUCUGGGGGAAGAGGGAGAUAUGUGUAGAUAAUGCAUAUCUCUGAUGGUAUUUUAGUAGGAAGUAUUGGUUAAUUUUGUGUUAGUAGUUGUGGUAAUAUGGAGGGUGUGAGUGUUGUUUGGAAUUAUUGGGUGUAAAGGGCGAGUAGGCGGAAGUGUUUGUCUGGUGUGAAAGCCCGGGGCUUAACCCCGGAAGUGCAUUGGAAACGGCAUUUUUUGAAUCUCGGAGAGGGUAGUGGAAUUCCUGGUGUAGAGGUGAAAUUCGUAGAGAUCAGUGAGGAACACCGGUGGCGAAGGCGGCUACCUGGACGAAGAUUGACGCUGAGGCGCGAAAGUGUGGGGAGUAAACAGGAUUAGAUAUCCUGGUAGUUUACGUUGUAAACGAUGAGCACUAGAUGUCGCGGGAGUUGAUUCCUGCGGUGUCGUAGUUAAUGUAUUAAGUGCUCCGCCUGGGGAGUACGGCCGUAAGGCUGAAACUCAAAGGAAUUGACGGGGGCCUGUACAAGCGGUGGAACAUGUGGUUUAAUUUGAUACAAUGCGUAGAACCUUACCCGGAUCUGACAUCCCUAGAAUCCUCUAGAGAUAGGGGAGUGCCCUUCGGGGAACUAGGAGACAGGUGUUGCAUGGCUGUCGUCAGCUCGUGUUGUGAGAUGUUGGGUUAAGUCCCGUAACGAGCGCAACCCCUGCCGAUAGUUGUUACCAACGAAGUGUUGGGUACUCUAUCGGGACUGCCGGUGUUAAGCCGGAGGAAGGUGGGGAUGACGUUAAGUUUUUAUGGUUUUUAUGUCCGGGGUUAUAUAUGUGUUAUAAUGGCCGGUAUAAAGGGAUGUGAAAGGGUGAUUUGAAGUUAAAUUUAAAAAACCGGCUCCAGUUUGGAUUGGAGUCUGUAAUUUGAUUCCAUGAAGGCGGAAUUGUUAGUAAUUGUGUAUUAGUAUGGUGUGGUGAAUAUGUUUUUGGGCCUUGUAUACACCGCCCGUCACACCACGAAAGUUGAUUGGACCGGAAGCCGGUAGCCUAACCUCUUCGGAGGAGGGCGUUGUUGAUGGUCUGAUUGGUGAUUGGGGUGAAGUUGAAAUAAGGUA
This 1523-nucleotide ribosomal RNA is filed under the name metagenome. Its description in RNAcentral is "bacterial SSU rRNA". It matches the Rfam family "Bacterial small subunit ribosomal RNA". The record is from RNAcentral.